RNAcentral lists this ribosomal RNA (406 nucleotides) under uncultured bacterium. RNAcentral's name for it is "partial 16S ribosomal RNA". It matches the Rfam family "Bacterial small subunit ribosomal RNA", at positions 30 to 526 of the family's 1533-position model. The record is from RNAcentral.
AUUGAACGCUGGCGGCAGGCCUAACACAUGCAAGUCGAACGAGUGGCGGACGGGUGAGUAAAGUCUGGGAAACUGCCAGAUGGAGGGGGAUAACUACUGGAACCGGUAGCUAAUACCGCAUACCAUCGGAUGUGCCCAGAUGGGAUUAGCUAGGAGGUGGGGUAACGGCGCACCUAGGCGACGCUCCAUAGCUGGUCUGAGAGGAUGACCCGCCACACUGGAACUGAGACACGGUCCAGACUCCUACGUGAGGCAGCAGUGGGGAAUAUUGCACAAUGGUGGCAAGCCUGAUGCAGCCAUGCCGCGUGUAUGAAGAAGGCCUUCGGGUUGUAAAGUACUUUCAGCGAGGAGGCGUUACUCGCAGAAGAAGCACCGGCUAACUCCGUGCCAGCAGCCGCGGUAAUUC